Molecule: ribosomal RNA, 405 nt
Filed under: uncultured bacterium
Lineage: Bacteria
Description: partial 16S ribosomal RNA
Rfam family: Bacterial small subunit ribosomal RNA
Source: RNAcentral
AUUGAACGCUGGCGGCAGGCUUAACACAUGCAAGUCGAACGAGUGGCGGAAGGGUGAGUAAUGCUUGGGAAUCUGGCUUAUGGAGGGGGAUAAGGACGGGAAAAUGUCGCUAAUAGCGCGUAACAGAGGAUGAGACCAAGUGGGAUUAGGGAGUUGGUGGGGUAAUGGCCUACCAAGCCGACGAUCUCUAGCUGGUCUGAGAGGGUGACCAGCCACACCGGUACUGAGACACGGCCCGGACUCCUACGGGAGGCAGCAGUGGUGAAUAUUGCGCAAUGGGGGCAACCUGACGCAGCCAUGCCGCGUGAAUGAAGAAGGCCUUCGGGUUGUAAAGUUCUUUCGGUGACGAGGCGUUAAUCACAGAAGAAGCACCGGCUAACUCCGUGCCAGCAGCCGCGGUAAUUC